Molecule: ribosomal RNA, 253 nt
Filed under: uncultured bacterium
Lineage: Bacteria
Description: partial 16S ribosomal RNA
Rfam family: Bacterial small subunit ribosomal RNA
Source: RNAcentral
UACGUAGGGUGCAAGCGUUGUCCGGAAUUAUUGGGCGUAAAGAGCUUGUAGGCGGUUUGUCGCGUCUGCUGUGAAAUUUCGGGGCUUAACCCCGGGCCUGCAGUGGGUACGGGCAGACUAGAGUGCGGUAGGGGAGACUGGAAUUCCUGGUGUAGCGGUGAAAUGCGCAGAUAUCAGGAGGAACACCGGUGGCGAAGGCGGGUCUCUGGGCCGUAACUGACGCUGAGGAGCGAAAGCAUGGGGAGCGAACAGG